UCUUGUAAUCCGAAGAUCGGAGGUUAAACUCCUCCCUAGCGCC
This 43-nucleotide transfer RNA is filed under the name Luciobarbus numidiensis. RNAcentral describes it as "partial tRNA-Thr". Lineage: Eukaryota; Metazoa; Chordata; Actinopteri; Cypriniformes; Cyprinidae. The record is from RNAcentral.